RNAcentral lists this long non-coding RNA (1079 nucleotides) under Oryzias sinensis (Chinese medaka). RNAcentral's name for it is "lncRNA (ENSOSIG00000007181.1)". The record is from RNAcentral. Lineage: Eukaryota; Metazoa; Chordata; Actinopteri; Beloniformes; Adrianichthyidae.
AUGCUCUUGUUCCAGACAAGAACAAGUGCAGAUCUUUCUUCUGAUCAUCCAGGUGAAAGAGCAGAACCCUGCAGAGAAGCUGCACCUGAGCCACUCAGCAACGAGAUGCAGGAGAGUUCACUCAUGGAUGCUGACGUCAAGGGGUUAGUGGAACUCAAACAAGAGAGCCCGGCCCAGAUGCCAUCCGCCAAACAAAACCCAGAGAAGGAAAUGAAAAGCAACAAAGAAGAUUCUUCUGAGAAAAACAGCAAGGAUGGUCUAGAGAAUGAUGGGAAGAACACUUCGAAGUAUAAAACUUUAUCCUAUAGAAAGAUCCGCAGAGGAAACACCAGACAGAGGGUUGAUGAGUUUGAGGCUAUGGUGAAGUCAUAGCUCUGUGCUCCAAGCAUUAUGACGCAUACUGAUUAUGCAUAACUGAAAAAUUGUAUAGGGAUGCUCCAUCAAAAAUGGUAUUUUGUUGUUUUUUUCUACAUAAUUUUGGGGCUUAAAACCACUUUUCUUUUGUUAGAAAACAAGAAAACUGGCUCCCUUUUUUUUAAUGUGCAACAAGCUUCUUCAUGUAUGUUUUGCCUAAAUCUUUUUAUCAAAUGUCAUGCUUCUGGAUUAAAGAAAACAGAUUUUAGCCAUUGCAAAUUUGCAAAACAAUCCCUACUUCUAUGGAAAGAUGUUUUCUUGUUUAAACAGAAUAAUAAAGAUAGAAGGAAAUUUUGUGUUUUUUAAUUCUGUAUGUUUAUCUUGCACUAUUUGCAAAACUUUUGAAGUUGCUUUGCAGUAAUACUUUUUAUGUAACAUUUUCAAGCCAUUUAAAUUGAGGAAAAACAUGAGAGCUGUAACACAUCUUUUUGCAACACCUCCACCCCCACUUGCAAGUGCUCACUGUUACACUGCUCCCUGUCCGCUUUAUCCCUCACUCCUAACACACAGUGUAUUGAUGGACGCAACAGAUAUCUUCCACUAAUGUUAGUGUCAGGAUUUAACUCUUGAAUGUAACAUUUGUUGUUCCAGCAGAUCUAGCAUAAACAUUGUGAAGCUGACAAUCGUAACCUACUCAAAUUAGCAGCUUGGCACCUGUAUCCCCU